This 63-nucleotide transfer RNA is filed under the name Alboglossiphonia lata. Its description in RNAcentral is "tRNA-Met". The record is from RNAcentral. Lineage: Eukaryota; Metazoa; Annelida; Clitellata; Rhynchobdellida; Glossiphoniidae.
AGUAAGAUAAGCUAAAUUGAAGCUAGUGGGCUCAUGACCCGAAAAUGAUUAAUUCUCUUACUA